UACGGAGGGUGCGAGCGUUAAUCGGAAUCACUGGGCGUAAAGGGUUCGCAGGCGGAAAUGCAAGUCAGAUGUAAAAGGCAGUAGCUUAACUACUGUAAGCAUUUGAAACUGCAUAUCUUGAGAAGAGUAGAGGUAAGUGGAAUUCCUAGUGUAGCGGUGAAAUGCUUAGAUAUUAGGAGGAAUACCAGUGGCGAAGGCGACUUGCUGGAAUCUAACUGACGCUGAGGUACGAAAGCGUGGGGAGCAAACAGG
This 252-nucleotide ribosomal RNA is filed under the name uncultured bacterium. RNAcentral describes it as "partial 16S ribosomal RNA". It matches the Rfam family "Bacterial small subunit ribosomal RNA", at positions 524 to 776 of the family's 1533-position model. The record is from RNAcentral.